This 859-nucleotide ribosomal RNA is filed under the name uncultured bacterium. RNAcentral's name for it is "bacterial SSU rRNA". It matches the Rfam family "Bacterial small subunit ribosomal RNA", at positions 9 to 873 of the family's 1533-position model. The record is from RNAcentral.
AGAGUUUGAUCCUGGCUCAGAUUGAACGCUGGCGGCAGGCCUAACACAUGCAAGUCGAGCGCGAAAAUUCCUUCGGGGAUGAUUAGAGCGGCGGACGGGUGAGUAACGCGUAAGAAUCUGCCCGGUAGUGGGGGACAACAGUCGGAAACGACUGCUAAUACCGCAUACGCCCUAAGGGGGAAAGCAGGGGAUCUUCGGACCUUGCGCUAUUGGAUGAGCCUAUGUCGGAUUAGCUAGUUGGUAGGGUAAAGGCCUACCAAGGCGACGAUCCGUAGCUGGUCUGAGAGGAUGAUCAGCCACAUCGGGACUGAGACACGGCCCGAACUCCUACGGGAGGCAGCAGUGGGGAAUAUUGGACAAUGGGCGCAAGCCUGAUCCAGCCAUGCCGCGUGUGUGAAGAAGGCUCUAGGGUUGUAAAGCACUUUCAGUAGGGAGGAAAGGUUAGUAGUUAAUAUCUGCUAACCCUGACGUUACCUACAGAAGAAGCACCGGCAAACUCCGUGCCAGCAGCCGCGGUAAUACGGAGGGUGCGAGCGUUAAUCGGAAUUACUGGGCGUAAAGCGCGCGUAGGCGGUUUGAUAAGCUGGAUGUGAAAGCCCUGGGCUCAACCUGGGAACUGCAUCCAGAACUGUCUGACUAGAGUACAGUAGAGGUGAGUGGAAUUUCCUGUGUAGCGGUGAAAUGCGUAGAUAUAGCCAUGGAACAUCAGUGGUCCAAACGCGGUCUCACUGCACUGAUACUGACGCCUGAGGAUGCUCAAAGCCGUGGUGUAGCUAAACAUGGUAUUUAGAUACGCUGCUAGAUCCCACCGCCCCGCCAAAACGAUUGGUUCCUACUUAGCCCGUUUUUGAGGGAUAUC